RNAcentral lists this long non-coding RNA (1185 nucleotides) under Monodelphis domestica (gray short-tailed opossum). RNAcentral's name for it is "lncRNA (ENSMODG00000030189.2)". The record is from RNAcentral. Lineage: Eukaryota; Metazoa; Chordata; Mammalia; Didelphimorphia; Didelphidae.
GAUUCUUUACCAUCACCUCCAAAAGCCCUGCACUUUCACCUCUGCUAUUGCAAUUACCUGGUUGAGAUAUGAUGAGGAUCUGGACCAAGAUGGUGGCCGUGUGAGAAGAGAGAAGGAGAUGGAUGUGAGAGAUGCUCUGAAGUUCUAUUUGGUGUCCAGAGGUCCACAGAAUCAACAUCAGAAACCAUGCCAUUCUCAGACUCAUCACUACCUUUCAUCAACCCUGCCACGAUAAACACAGGGAAGCAGGAUCCUAGCAAGGUCCCCUUUUCUACCAUCGUUGAUUAUGUUACAAACAGAAAUAGGACUCCAAAGAAGAGAAUGCUCCAGAUCCAUGGCUCACCUAUUUGUUUUCCUAACAAUUUCUCUUCACCCCUGAGAUUUUCACAGGAUGAUAUUAAUGAAAAAAGGAAUACACUUACUUCAACUUCUAAAAAACAAGAGGAGUUAGUUAGUAAAACAGAUAAAAGCACUUUGCCGAAACUUCAACCCUUAUUUUCAAUGACAGCAACUAUGAAGUAUGAGCAGAAGUCCAAGAAGAAUAAGCUGAAAUCUCGGUUAGCCCAGGCCCUGUUGGAUGAUUUUCGACAAAAUGUGAAGACCAUUAAAAGUAUCAUGAAUCCAGAGAGCAGCUCCAUGGUGGUGGAGAGUGAAAAGAAAGCUGCAAAUUCUAGACAUGGGAUUAAAGAAGAACAGGUUCAUAUAUUCACACCUUUUUCUGGAGCACAUUCUAAGAGGUAACAGAAGAGAGAAAAAUCAAAAGUAAUAGAUUACCAUGACAUAAAGANAUGUAAGUUCCUUGAGAGCAAGGUGUUUUUUUGGGGGGGGCAUUUAUUUGAAUUCUCAGUACCUGGUAUAUAAUUUUUAUUGAUGAGAGAUAGAAUAUUACUGCGCAAACAGGUCAGUCAAUCUGAUGGAAUGGAAGAACACAUAAUAGUGACUAAUGUGUAAUCAGACUAGAAAGAUAGGUGGAAGUCAGAUUAUGAAGGACCUUAGAUGCUUAAGAGUCUCUAUUUGAUGCUAGAGAAAAUAGGGUGUACCACUGUAGUGGCUUUCUGAACAAGAAGGAUGUACUGGAAAAAAAAAAAAGAGGGAGAGCAAUUAGGAUUAUGCUAAGUAGUCUAGUUGAAGUGCCUAGAGUAAAUGAAAGUAAAUAAAUUUAUAAAGGGCUUUUUGUUAAGUCCA